Fukomys damarensis (Damara mole-rat) is the source of this 1915-nucleotide long non-coding RNA. The record is from Ensembl. Lineage: Eukaryota; Metazoa; Chordata; Mammalia; Rodentia; Bathyergidae.
GAGGGGAUAGGGUGGGAGCAUCAGGGCCAGGGUGGUAGGCCAGGCUAGUAUCGGCUGGGCCAAGCUGGCAGUACAUGCUGGGCACAGCAGGCCCAGUCUCGGAGGCUAGGCUGGGUGCGGCAGAGCCAGGCCGGGAGGCCAGCCUGGGAGCACCUGGGCCAGGCUGGUAGUACACGCUGUUCGCGGCAGGGACAGUGUCGGAGGCAAGGCUGGGUGCGGCAGGAUCCUUCUCAGAGGCCAGGCUGGGCGCAGCAGGGCCAGUCUGGGAGCAUCAGGGCCAGGCUGAGAAGUCCCGCUGGGCACUGCAGGGCCAGGCUGGCAGCAUCAGGACCAGGCUCGCAAUGCACGCUGGUCCGGUCAGGGAUAGUCUCGGUGGGCAGGCCAGGCGCAGCAUGGCCUGGCUGGGAGGCCAGGCUGGGAGCGUCAGGGCCAGGCUGGCAGUACACGCUGGUUGCAGAAGGGCCAGUCUUGGGGGCCAGGCUGGGCGUGGCAGGGCCCUUCUCGGAGGCCAUGCUGGGGGUGGCAGGACCAGGCUGUGCGGUAGAGCUGGGAGCAUCAGGGCCAUGGUGGCAGGCCAGGCUGGUAUCGGCUGGGCCAAGCUGGCAGUACAUGCUGGGCACAGCAGGCCCAGUCUCGGAGGCUAGGCUGGGCGUUGCAGGGCAAGGCCGGGAAGCCAGCCUGGGAGCAGCUGGGCCAGGCUGGUAGUACACGCUGUUUGGGGCAGGGACAGUGUCGGAGGCCAGGCUGGGCGCAGCAGGGCCAGUCUGGGAGGUCUGGCUGGGAGCAUCAGGGCCACGGUGGUAGGCCAGGCUGGUAGCGGCUGAGCCAGGCUGGCAGUACAUGCUGGUUGCGUCAGGGACAGUCUUGGAGGCCAGGUUGGGCACAGCAGGGCCAGUCUGGGAGGCCAGGCUGGGAGCGUCACGUCCAGGCUGGCAGGACAGCCUGGUCACGGCAGGGACAGUCUCAGAUGGCAGGCGGGGCGCGGAAGAGUCAGGCUGCGGUGUCAGCCGGGCUGUUGCAGGGCCAGGCUGCGGGGACAGCCACGCAGCGGCAUUGCUACUCUUGGGCGACAGCCGGGCAGGGACAGGGCCAGGCUGGAGAGACAGCCAUGGAGCAGGAGGGCGGGUGGGGAGGAUAGAGGGAGCGGCCGGGCCAGGCUGAGAGGUCCGGCUGGGCGCUGCAGGGCCAGACUGGCAGCAUCAGGACCAGGCUCCCAGUGCACGAUGGUCCGAUCAGGGAUAGUCUGAGAGGGCAGGCUGGGCGCGGCAUGGCCAGGCUGGGAGGCCAGAGUGGAAGCGUCAAGGACAGGCUGGAAGUACAUGCUAGUUGCACCAGGGCCAGUCUUGGGGGCCAGGCUGGGCUUGGCAGGGCCCUUCUCGGAGGCCAGGCUGGGGCUGGCCGGUCCAGGCUGUGCUGUAGUGCUGGAAGCAUCAGAGCCACGGUGGUAGGCCAGGCUGGUAUCGGCUGGGCCAAGCUGACAGUACAUGCUGGGCCCAGGAGGCCCAGUCUCGGAGGCUAGGCUGCGCGCUGCAGGGCCUGGCCGGGAGGCCAGCCUGGGAGCUGCUGGGCCAGGCUGGUAGUACACGCUGUUUGCGGCAGGGACAGUGUCGGAGGCCAGGCUGGGCGCGGCAGGAACUUCUCGGAGGCCAGGCUGGGCGCAGCAGGGCCUGGCUGGGAGUCCAGGCUGGGCACCGCAGGGCCAGUCUGUGAGGUCAGGCUGGGAGCAUCAGGGCCACGGUGGUAGGCCAGGCUGCUAGCGGCUGGGCCAGGCUGGCAGUACAUGAUGGUUGCAUCAGGGACAGUCUCGGAGGGCAGGCUGUGCGCGGCAUGGCCAGGCUGGGAGGCCAGGCUGGGAGCCUGAAGAACAGGCUGGCAGUACAGCCUGGUGACGGCAGGGACAGUCUCCGAGGCCAGG